UGGGGAAUCUUCCACAAUGGGCGCAAGCCUGAUGGAGCAACACCGCGUGAGUGAAGAAGGGUUUCGGCUCGUAAAGCUCUGUUGUUAAAGAAGAACACGUAUGAGAGUAACUGUUCAUACGUUGACGGUAUUUAACCAGAAAGUCACGGCUAACUACGUGCCAC
Molecule: ribosomal RNA, 164 nt
Filed under: uncultured bacterium
Lineage: Bacteria
Description: partial 16S rRNA
Rfam family: Bacterial small subunit ribosomal RNA
Source: RNAcentral